This 6025-nucleotide long non-coding RNA is filed under the name Oryza sativa (Asian cultivated rice). Its description in RNAcentral is "long non-coding RNA (OSAT_LNC000702)". Lineage: Eukaryota; Viridiplantae; Streptophyta; Magnoliopsida; Poales; Poaceae. The record is from RNAcentral.
AUCAGUGGAAGAAAAUGAGGCGGAUGCUCGCGUCGGAGAUCCUCUCAUCGGCCAUGGAGCGGCGAAUGCUUGGCCAGCGCGUCGAGGAGGCUGACCACCUUGUCAAUUACAUCUACAGGAACUGUAAUAAUGGCACUGUAGACAUCCGGCACGUAACGAGACACUUCUGUGGCAACAUCAUCAGGAAGCUGGUGUUUGGCCGGAGACACUUCGCCUUCGGCGCUGGCAAUAUCGGCCCUGGCCGUGAUGAGGAGGCCCACAUUGACGCGCUCUUCACGGCGCUAGACUACCUCGGCGCAUUCUCCAUCUCCGACUACUUCCCGUCGUUGGUUCUCAAUGGCCUGAUGAGUACAUUCAGACGGCUGCAUGAUCCAAUCAUAAUGGAGAGGAUGGAAGAAUGGAGGGCUCCCAGGAGAAAUGGUGAUGAGAGGAGAGAAGUUGCCGAUUUUCUGGAUGUGUUGAUCUCCUUGGACGAUGCACAGGGAAAACCGUUGUUGUCACUUGAUGAGGUCAAGGCAGAAACGCUGGUAAUAAGCUCUAUUACACCGUCAUAUAUAUAUAUUUCAAACUAGGACUAUAGAUAUGUCCUCGGAAGAAAAAUAGUACGCUUGAAGUGCUUACAUUUUGGUCCAAAUUUCUAAUACUAGAAAUGCUUAUAUUUUACAAUUAAUUAGUGAGGUCUUGGUUUCGUUAUAGGAAACAAUAUACUAUGGUGUGGUUCCGUUCAUUUUGAUGUUAAAAUUAACCGUUGGUUACUAUGACUCAAUAGUGAGCGCGCAAAAUAUCUAAGAUUUAUUUUUUGAAAAAUAGCUAUGGAAAUGUUUGAAAAAAAAAUUGUAAGUCUAGUAUAUGCAUAUCUAUUAUCUCAUUCUAAACUCCACCCACGCAUCGAGAAACAAAGAGACAAAUCAAAAUAAUAUAUGAACAGUAUUGUAGUGUUCAUCUAUGGAUUUCUCUUGUUUUCUAUUUAUUUCUCCAAUCUAGAUUUGAUUGUUGUGACCUCAGUAGAUGUCAGUGCAUACUUAAUAUUGUUGCCAAUUUUCCAAAAGUUUUCAUGGAAAUUUUGAUUGUAUUUGGGAAGUAAAGACAUAUCAGAGGUUGCCCCUGGAAGGAUGAAAAUCCAUCACUGUUUUAAUUUAAUCUUAUGGCUGCAGGAAAUAAUCCUUAAUUCGGUAGACAACCCAUCAAAUGCUGUAGAGUGGGCACUGGCAGAGAUGGUGAACAAUCCAAAGGUCAUGAAGAAAGCAGUAGAUGAACUCGAUAUGGUUGUCGGUAAAGAAAGGCUUGUCGAGGAAUCCGACAUUCACAGCCUCACAUACCUCAAGGCGUGUAUCCGGGAGGCGUUCCGCAUCCACCCCUACCACCCAUUCAACCCUUCCCAUGUCGCGAUCGCUAACAUCACCAUCGCUGGAUUCAUGAUCCCAAAGGGUAGCCAUAUCAUUUUAAGCCGAAUUGGGCUUGGUCGAAACCCUAGAGCACGGGAUAACCCACUCGAAUUCCGACCAGAGCGACAUUUGAAGAAUACUGAUAAUGUGGUGCUAGCUGAGCCAGAGUUACGGUUUUUAUCAUUCAGUGCUGGUAGGCGUGGCUGCCCCGCCGUAUCACUCGGAACUUCAAUUACAAUGAUGCUUUGGGCCGAAAAACUCAAUACUGAUGUAAUAAAAAAACAUAUUUGUAAUUAAAAAAUAUUUACAAAUAGGUCCUUGGCGCCAAUAACGCUGGCACUGAGGAACUAUUUGUAAAUAUUUUACAAAUAAAACCAUUUUUAUUACAAAUAGGUCUUGUUAAAUAAAUUUACAAAUAGGUCCUCAGUGCCAACGAUAUUUGCGUCGUCCCACAUCACAUUAGUGACUUAGAUUCCAUCCAGGGGUGGAGGGGAUGGUGUCAACUUCAUUGGUGUUGUUCCGUUAGAUCACGGCGCCAAUGACGUUGGCGUUACGGAAAGGGCCAUUUAUAGAAUAAAUUUUGGAGUGUAUAUUUGUAAAAUAAGUUUUUUAAAAGGACCAAAAGGUGAAAAUUCAGGGGUAGCCACUGAUUAGAGAAUAGGCUGUUUAGGCGACGACUAGGCAGAUUAGACGGUCUAGGCGUGUUUUCUAAUUUUUCCAUAGAAAUACAAAAUAUUGAUUGAAAAUAACACAUGUUAUAUAGUACUUCCUCCGUUUCCUGUUAUAAGACAUUUUGACUUUGGUUCAAGUCAAACUAUUUUAAGUUUGACUAAGUUUAAAGACGAAUAUAGUAAUAUUUAUAAUAUUAAAUUAGUGUUAUCAAAUCAAUAAUUGAAUAUAUUUUAAUAAUAAAUUUGUCUUAGGUUAAAAAAGUUACUAUUUUUGUUUAUAAACUUGAUCAAACUUAAAGCAAUUUGACUUUGACUAAAGUCAAAACGUCUUGUAACCUGAAACUGAGGGAUUAUCUACGAAGGGGAGCUUUCUCUCGCUUUAAGCGUAGAGGGGAAGAGUGUGGCAGCACUAAAGAAUGGUUCACAAGCAGGUAAGAAUGUAGUAAGAUAACGUAAUGCCAUUCUAUUCUAUAAUGCAGCUGGCCCCACGCUUCCAUAUUUCAUCGCCGUGCAUUGCACAUUUGCACCAAAACUUUUGGCCACUGCUCAUUGCCAAGUCGUUGUUGCCUAAUCGCUACCCUCCGCCAUCUAAAUACGCCCAGUAUCCUUCCAUCCAAGCCGCCUAGGAUUGAUUGGGACCAUUUAGGCAGCAAAACGACUAAAAUCCUCUGACUAGGAUGUAAUCUGGACGUCUUGCUACGGACUAGCGAUGAGUCGCCGUCUAGGCGGCCGUCAAUCAAUCUAUGUAUUGUUUUCAUGUUAAAAGAUAAAUAGUGACUGGUGUGAUCAAUCAACUGGAAACAAAUAUAGAGCACUCCUUUUAUUUACAGGACAUUUCUGCAUAUUUAAAUGGAAGAACAAAAACACGAGCACUACAUGUAACAUUAGCAAGGUUCUUUAAGAAAUAAGAUUUGCUACCAUCCAGCACUUGUACCCGGCCCAACCCAAGGUCCCAGUACCACAACGUACUAAAACAAAUCUGACUAUCCAAUAUUUAGGGGUAGGAUUGGGAAUGAGUAAGAAACCUCUUCCAACACUAAAUCAAUCUUGUUUCUGGGUUCUCGUCAAAAAAGAAAAAAUCUCAUUCUUGCGCCCGUUGUUUCCUUCCUCAUCUGUACUUCUUCGCCGUACGCCACCGACGAUGCAUAUCUUAGCAGAAACCAGAUCAUGCACAACCCAAUAUCCUUCAUCGAUGCUACUGCAUUCUUCCUUGCCACCGGCGCCGGCGCCUAGUCCAACGACUCGCCGCUGCUGCCGCUGCUGUGGCAUCUGGCUCGACCUCUCCACGGCCACCUCGACGUCGUGGCCGGCAACGCCCCUAACUCCACCGCGGCCGCAUUGCUUGGUGUCCGAUCUCUCCACGACCACCUCGUCUGGUGUCACACCCCGCCGCUCGCCAUGGUCGUCGACGCCGAGCAUGCCGCACGCCGCUGUGGACCCUGCAGCCCGUGCCGUCGACGCACCUAUUGCCUGCCGUCACCGUCGACGCCGGGAUCGAAUCUUGCAGCAUGUCGCUGGCAAUGCAAUGCACCCUGCUGCUCAGUGCUCACCGCCACCAUCGAAGCCGGGGCUGGACUCCGCCGGCCGCACACAUCCCCGAACCAUCGAACCCCGCAGCUCGCCGCUGCCGCCAUCAACGCCGGCCCCGGACCUCGCCUUCCGCUGAUGCCGCCGUCAACACUGGCCCCACCGCCCACCCUAGAGGCCAACAUCUCGCCCUUACAUAUGAAAAGUCUAUACUACCCUUUCACCUCUCUUCAAAAGAUGGUACCACCAUAUGGGCUAAAAUGGUACUGCACGGUACCGAGAAAUCUCAAUCACCGUCUGAUAUGUCCCAAUUGACGGCUAGGAUUUGGUACGCCUACCUCUGCUGGACGGGAGCAAAUCACUUAUAAAAUUCCAUCUAUAAAUUGGCCACAUAAUCAGUUAUCUAGCUAUCCUCUCUUCAGUCACACAUAAACAUGUUCUUUCCCAGUACUGCAAAUAUGCGCGAGCAAAAUAAUACCAUAAUAGUAUCAAUAGCCAUGACCAUCCUCCUGCUGGUUGCGUUCUUCUGUCGGAUCAAGAAGCAGGCUGCCAUGGCAGCCAAGAACAAGAGGAAGAAGCAACCCAAGCUGCCACCGGGGCCAGCUACCAUGCCGGUGUUGGGUAACAUGCACCAGAUGCUGAUGAACAAGCCGGUGUUCAGGUGGAUCCACCGCCUUCUCGACGAGAUGGACAUCGAGAUCCGGUCAGAGACCCUUAUAUUUCUUGUCUUCCUUCCCUUUCCCGUCCAUCAGAUCGGUACCGCCCCAUCUUCCUCCUUCCGCUCCUCAUCGGGCUGCCAUUGGGGAGAAGCGCGGAUGUCAGGGGGAGUGGGAGCAGAUCAGUGGCACCAACGACGAGCUGGUUCAUGCCAGCGUGCUCGCCAGGUUGGCGGCCGGCGAGACGACGGGCACUUUGCUAGUAUUACCGAACUAGAGUAAUUAGUAUUCUUUCCUAUCAUUUUGAGAGUAUUGAAUGGUACUAUUCCAAAUGUAACGACUACUCCCCCCGUCAAAAAAAAAAAGAUAAACCCUGGGUUUCCGUAUCCAACGUUUAAUUGUUGGUAGAUGAUAAAAUAUAAUUAAUACUUUAUAUGUGACUUGUCUUUUUAAUUUUUUUUGUAAGUUUUUUUAAAUAAGACGGAUGGUCAAACGUUAAACACGAAAACCUAGGGUUUGUCUUUUUUUGACGAAGGGAGUAUAUAGCUUCUAAAUUACAAAAACAUUAUUAAAAAAUAUAACAUUUAUCAAAAAAAUGUUUAUAUAAUAUACAAUAUUUUGGAACAUUUACAUUAAUUUAAAGAAUAGAUGAUUGAAGUUCUAAAAAUGAAUAGCGAUCGACUAGUGUCAAUUAGUUGGCGACAAACAGAGCACACCUUUUUCCAGGACAUUUGUCAAUAUUUGAAUGGAACAACAAAAGCCGAGCACCACGCGAACACUAGCAAUAGUUCUUUCUUCUUUUUUUUUAGGAAAUGCCAUUCGGCUAGCUUUAUUGAUCAUUAAACAUUAAACAUUGUUACAUCGUUUGCCAAAGCGCUUAGAAUAUAACCAGGAGGUUCAUCGACCCAAGUACAAGACUCUUUCGUACUAAAAGCAAUAGUUCUUUCUUUAUUGAAAAGGAAAACGUGAUGAAGUUUCAUUCCACACGUGUUUAGAAUUCCAUCUAUAAAUUAAUUGGCCACAGAAUCAGUGAUAUAUCUAGCUAGGCUAUCUGCACUCCCAAAAAAAAAUCAGUAAUCAUGCACAAGAACAACGAUACCAUCAUGCCAUCACAACUCAUCGCCCAAAAUGACCAUGCAUAUGUCCUCACCUUUCUGAUGUCAAUAGCCAUGGCCAUCCUCUUGCUCGUUGCGUUGUUCUAUCGGAUCAAGAAGCAGGCAGCUGCCAUGGCGGCCAAGAGGAAGCAACAACCCAAGCUACCACCCGGGCUAGCUACCAUGCCGGUGGUUAGCAACAUGCACCAAAUGCUGAUGAACAAGCCGGUGUUCAGGUGGAUCCACCGCCUGCUCGACGAGAUGGACACCGAGAUCCUGUGCCUCCGUUUCGGUCGCGUCCACGUGAUCGCCGUCGCCUCGCCGGAGAUGGCCCGGGAGGUCCUGCGCAAGAAGGACGCCAUGCUCGCCUCCCGGCCAUCGUCGUUCGUGUCGCGGACGUUCAGCUUUGGGUACAAGAACACCAUCAUGUCGCCGGCCGGUGACCAGUGGAGGAAGAUGAGGCAGGUGCUCACGUCGGAGAUCCUCUCGCCGGCCAUGGAGCGGCGGAUGCUCGGCCGGCGCGUCGAGGAGGCUGACCACCUUGUCAAUUACGUCUACAGCCACUGUAAUGAUGGCACUGUAGACGUCCGGCACGUAACGAGACACUUCUGUGGCAACAUCAUCAGGAAGCUGGUGUUUGGCCGGAGACACUUCAACUCCGGCGAUGGCAAUAUCGGCCCUGGCCGUGAUGA